AUCCCUGAGACAAGAUGGUGAAGGUCGGAGUUAACGGAUUUGGCCGUAUUGGGCGCCUGGUCACCAGAGCUGCUGUUAACUCUGGCAAAGUAGAGGUUGUUGCCAUCAACGACCCCUUCAUUGACCUCAACUACAUGGUAUAUAUGUUCCAGUAUGAUUCCACCCAUGGCAAGUUCAAUGGCACUGUCAAGGCUGAGAACGGGAAACUUAUCAUCAAUGGGAAGCCCAUCUCUAUCUUCCAGGAGCGAGAUCCCACCAACAUCAAGUGGGGUGAUGCUGGUGCUGAAUGUGUUGUAGAGUCCACCGGUGUCUUCACAACCUUGGAGAAGGCUGGGGCUCACUUGAAGGGUGGUGCCAAAAGGGUAAUCAUCUCUGCCCCUUCUGCUGAUGCCCCCAUGUUUGUGAUGGGCGUGAACCAUGAGAAGUAUGACAACUCGCUCAACAUUGUCAGCAAUGCCUCCUGCACCACCAACUGUUUGGCCCCCCUGGCCAAGGUCAUCCAUGAUAAUUUUGGCAUUGUGGAGGGACUCAUGACCACAGUCCAUGCCAUCACUGCCACCCAGAAGACUGUGGAUGGCCACUCUGGGAAACUGUGGCGUGAUAGCCGUGGGGCUGCCCAGAACAUCAUCCCUGCAUCUACUGGUGCUGCCAAGGCUGUGGGCAAGGUCAUCCCUGAACUGAAUGGGAAACUCACUGGCAUGGCCUUCCGUGUCCCCACUCCUAAUGUGUCUGUUGUGGACCUGACCUGCCGCCUGGAGAAAGCUGCCAAAUAUGAUGACAUCAAUAAGAUGGUGAAGCAGGCAUCAGAUGGACCCCUAAAAGGCAUCCUGGGUUACACUGAAGACCAGGUUGUUCCUGUGACUUUAACAGUGACACCCACUCUUUCACCUUUGAUGCUGGAGCUGGUAUUGCCCUCAAUGACCACUUUGUCAAGCUCAUUUCCUGGUAUGACAAUGAAUUCAGCUACAGCAACAGGGUGGCAGACCUUAUGGUCCACAUGGCCUCCAAAGAAUAAGAGCCCCCUGGACCACCAGCCCCAGCAACAGCACUAGAGGAAGAGAGAGGCCCUCAGCUGCUAGGAGUCCUUACCCCAACUCUAAUCCCCCUACACACUGCGAAACUCCAAUCCUGUUUCCAUCCAGACCCCCUGGAGAAGGGGAGGGGCUCUAAAGAGCCCAGUCUUGUCAUGUACCAUCAAUAAAGUACACU
This is an RNA transcript of Chrysochloris asiatica (Cape golden mole), 1209 nucleotides long. It is a transcript of the gene named glyceraldehyde-3-phosphate dehydrogenase pseudogene, with no coding region annotated. The transcript has a single exon. The record is from RefSeq and is a predicted model, not a curated record. Lineage: Eukaryota; Metazoa; Chordata; Mammalia; Afrosoricida; Chrysochloridae.